This 449-nucleotide ribosomal RNA is filed under the name uncultured bacterium. RNAcentral describes it as "partial 16S ribosomal RNA". It matches the Rfam family "Bacterial small subunit ribosomal RNA", at positions 29 to 523 of the family's 1533-position model. The record is from RNAcentral.
AGCGAACGCUGGCGGCAGGCCUAACACAUGCAAGUCGAACGAAGUCUUCGGACUUAGUGGCGGACGGGUGAGUAACACGUGGGAACGUACCUUUUGGUUCGGAACAACUCAGGGAAACUUGAGCUAAUACCGAAUGUGCCCUUCGGGGGAAAGAUUUAUCGCCAUUAGAGCGGCCCGCGUUAGAUUAGCUAGUUGGUGGGGUAAAGGCCCACCAAGGCUACGAUCUAUAGCUGGUCUGAGAGGAUGAUCAGCCACACUGGGACUGAGACACGGCCCAGACUCCUACGGGAGGCAGCAGUGGGGAAUCUUGCGCAAUGGGCGAAAGCCUGACGCAGCCAUGCCGCGUGAAUGAUGAAGGUCUUAGGAUUGUAAAAUUCUUUCAGUAGGGACGAUAAUGACGGUACCUACAGAAGAAGCCCCGGCUAACUUCGUGCCAGCAGCCGCGGUAA